ACAGAGGCGGCAAGCGUUGUUCGGAUUUACUGGGCGUAAAGGGUGCGUAGGCGGUUCUGUGUGUCGGAUGUGAAAUCUCACAGCUCAACUGUGGAAUUGCAUUUGAAACUACAGGGCUGGAGUACAGGAGAGGAGAGCGGAAUUCUUGGUGUAGGGGUGAAAUGCGUAGAUAUCAAGAGGAACACCGGUGGCGAAGGCGGCUCUCUGGACUGAUUCUGACAGUGAGGCACGAAAGCUGGGGGAGCAAACAG
RNAcentral lists this ribosomal RNA (251 nucleotides) under uncultured prokaryote. Its description in RNAcentral is "partial 16S rRNA". It matches the Rfam family "Bacterial small subunit ribosomal RNA", at positions 525 to 775 of the family's 1533-position model. The record is from RNAcentral.